This 201-nucleotide ribosomal RNA is filed under the name uncultured bacterium. RNAcentral describes it as "partial 16S ribosomal RNA". It matches the Rfam family "Bacterial small subunit ribosomal RNA", at positions 1300 to 1500 of the family's 1533-position model. The record is from RNAcentral.
GUAGUCUGCAACCCGACUACACGAAGCUGGGAUCGCUAGUAAUCGCGGAUCAGAAUGUCGCGGUGAAUACGUUCCCGGGUCUUGUACACACCGCCCGUCACACCAUGGGAGUCGGGAAUGCCCGAAGUCAGUGACCCAACCUAUUGGAGGGAGCUGCCGAAGGCAGGUCUGAUAACUGGGGUGAAGUCGUAACAAGGUAUC